This 264-nucleotide unclassified non-coding RNA is filed under the name Hevea brasiliensis (rubber tree). Lineage: Eukaryota; Viridiplantae; Streptophyta; Magnoliopsida; Malpighiales; Euphorbiaceae. The record is from RNAcentral.
AAGCCCGCCCUAAUGAAUCGAAAGAUCUGAUACCAUGAUGAAAUAAAAGAGGUUUUGGAGAGAAUUUUCUCGUAUAUUUCUCAAUGUAAAAAGACUUUGUACAUUAUGCUAUUUAUGCACAAGAAUCCUAACCAUACAAGGAAACCUAAAUCAAUAGGAAACUAAUAAAAAUGAGGAACAAGAUAUACAAAAGAAGACAAAAUAAUAAGGGAAAAAAUAAUAAUCCUUAUAAUGUAGGUGAGAAUUAGAGAAAUAGAGAAGAAG